CACGCCGUAAACGAUGCUAACUCGUUUUUGGAAUGUAAGUUUCAGAGANUAAGCGAAAGUGAUAAGUUAGCCACCUGGGGAGUACGAACGCAAGUUUGAAACUCAAAGGAAUUGACGGGGGCCCGCACAAGCGGUGGAUUAUGUGGUUUAAUUCGAUGAUACGCGAGGAACCUUACCAAGGCUUAAAUGGGAAAUGACAGGUUUAGAAAUAGACUUUUCUUCGGACAUUUUUCAAGGUGCUGCAUGGUUGUCGUCAGCUCGUGCCGUGAGGUGUUAGGUUAAGUCCUGCAACGAGCGCAACCCCUGUCACUAGUUGCCAUCAUUAAGUUGGGGACUCUAGUGAGACUGCCUACGCAGGUAGAGAGGAAGGUGGGGAUGACGUCAAAUCAUCACGGCCCUUACGCCUUGGGCCACACACGUAAUACAAUGGCCGGUACAGAGGGCAGCUACACUGCGAAGUGAUGCAAAUCUCGAAAGCCGGUCUCAGUUCGGAUUGGAGUCUGCAACUCGACUCUAUGAAGCUGGAAUCGCUAGUAAUCGCGCAUCAGCCAUGGCGCGGUGAAUACGUUCCCGGGCCUUGUACACACCGCCCGUCAAGCCAUGGAAGUCUGGGGUACCUGAAGUCGGUGACCGUAACAGGAGCUGCCUAGGGUAAAACAGGUAACUAGGGCU
RNAcentral lists this ribosomal RNA (672 nucleotides) under uncultured prokaryote. RNAcentral describes it as "bacterial SSU rRNA". It matches the Rfam family "Bacterial small subunit ribosomal RNA", at positions 796 to 1482 of the family's 1533-position model. The record is from RNAcentral.